RNAcentral lists this transfer RNA (72 nucleotides) under Geothermobacter ehrlichii. It matches the Rfam family "tRNA". From Rfam's summary of the family: Transfer RNA (tRNA) molecules are approximately 80 nucleotides in length. Their secondary structure includes four short double-helical elements and three loops (D, anti-codon, and T loops). Lineage: Bacteria; Pseudomonadati; Thermodesulfobacteriota; Desulfuromonadia; Desulfuromonadales; Geothermobacteraceae. The record is from Rfam by way of RNAcentral.
GGGCGUUUAGCUCAGCGGGAGAGCACUGCCUUCACACGGCAGGGGUCGCUGGUUCAAUCCCAGCAACGCCCA